This 458-nucleotide ribosomal RNA is filed under the name uncultured bacterium. RNAcentral's name for it is "partial 16S ribosomal RNA". It matches the Rfam family "Bacterial small subunit ribosomal RNA", at positions 338 to 795 of the family's 1533-position model. The record is from RNAcentral.
CCUACGGGUGGCAGCAGUGAGGAAUAUUGGUCAAUGGGCGAGAGCCUGAACCAGCCAAGUCGCGUGAGGGAGUACUGCCCUAUGGGUUGUAAACCUCUUUUGUCGGGGAGCAAAAGCCGGACGUGUCCGGCUGUGAGAGUACCCGAAGAAAAAGCAUCGGCUAACUCCGUGCCAGCAGCCGCGGUAAUACGGAGGAUGCGAGCGUUAUCCGGAUUUAUUGGGUUUAAAGGGUGCGUAGGCGGAUCGUUAAGUCAGUGGUCAAAUUGAGGGGCUCAACCCCUUCCCGCCAUUGAAACUGGCGCUCUUGAGUGGAAGAGAAGUAUGCGGAAUGCGUGGUGUAGCGGUGAAAUGCAUAGAUAUCACGCAGAACCCCGAUUGCGAAGGCAGCAUGCCGGCUUCCGACUGACGCUGAAGCACGAAAGCGUGGGGAUCGAACAGGAUUAGAUACCCGUGUAGUC